GGGUGCUUCGAUGGUAUCCGUUUCCGUAACAAAUGCGUUAAGUGCCCCGCCUGGGGAGUACGGUCGCAAGGCUAAAACUCAAAGGAAUUGACGGGGGCUCACACAAGCGGUGGAGCAUGUUGCUUAAUUCGAAGCAACGCGAAGAACCUUACCCAGAUUCGAAAUGCUAGGAUUAGCCUCCUGAAAGGGAAGUGACGCCCUCGUGGUGGAACUAGUAUAGGUGUUGCAUGGCUGUCGUCAGCUCGUGUCGUGAGAUGUCGCGUUAAGUCGCUGAACGAGCGAAACCCUUGUCCUUAGUUGCCAGCACUUCGGGUGGGGACUCUAGGGAGACUGCCGUUGUUAAAACGGAGGAAGGUGGGGACGACGUCAAGUCAUCAUGGCCUUUAUGCCUGGGGCUGCAAACGUGCUACAAUGGCGGGUACAAAGGGAAGCAAAACCGCGAGGUCAAGCAAAUCCCAUAAAGCCCGCCCCAGUUCGGAUUGAAGGCUGCAACUCGCCUUCAUGAAGCCGGAAUCGCUAGUAACCGCGGAUCAGCUACGCCGCGGUGAAUAUGUUCCUGAGCCUUGUACACACCGCCCGUCAAGCCACGAAAGUCGGCAGUGCCUUAAGUCGUGAACCCAACC
RNAcentral lists this ribosomal RNA (623 nucleotides) under uncultured Planctomycetota bacterium. Its description in RNAcentral is "bacterial SSU rRNA". It matches the Rfam family "Bacterial small subunit ribosomal RNA", at positions 825 to 1440 of the family's 1533-position model. Lineage: Bacteria; Pseudomonadati; Planctomycetota. The record is from RNAcentral.